Strigops habroptila (Kakapo) is the source of this 991-nucleotide long non-coding RNA. RefSeq lists it as uncharacterized. The transcript is spliced from 3 exons. Lineage: Eukaryota; Metazoa; Chordata; Aves; Psittaciformes; Psittacidae. The record is from RefSeq and is a predicted model, not a curated record.
AGCACAGCUGGGUGCUCCACGUGUUACUGACUGCAUGCUGGUUUUGGAGUCUUGCGACUGCUCGCUUAGCCUUUCUCCUUGCUUGCUUUGUAUGAAACACUUCUUUGUAAAUGUUCUAUAACCAUCUUAUUUCUAGACUUCUGCACAUACAUCUGGAAGCACAACUGCCCAGGCAGAUUGUUCUUCUGGGAUAGAUGUUGUUUGCCACUGUUUUGUUCAUUGCUUCGGAUGAAUCAACAUCCCGAUGGGCAGGAAGAACAUGAAUAUGAAUCAUCCCCUCCCAGACCUCCAAAUGACUUUUAUAUGACCACAGUGCAGGGGACAACAAAUAUGUACGUAAAUGAAAAUCAAGACAGACACUGCAAAGCAGAGAUCCAAACACAACCAGAGCCUAUGAGGAUGAAGAAACACAGAAGAAAGCCACCUGUGGUGGAAUCCGUUUAUGAAAACCAUCCAUCCUGUCACUGAAAAAAACCUGCACUGAAUAGUGGCUGGGGCGAGAAAUAACAGGCACAAUCUUUUUCCUGGACACCAGGGGUCACACGGUGGCAGUGAGAAUUUUCUCUUUGCGUGUACAUGAAAUUCUAUGGAAAAUGGGACAGAGACUUUGGAUGGGGGAAGAACUGUUUGAAAUGAUGCCUCUACGAUGUGGAAGCAAUAUCAGAUUCCCCUGGAGCACCCAGCCUCUCUGGGAGAGAUGUUUUUGCUGUCCCCCUAAAUUAAUUCAUUUUAAUAAAGAACAUAUAAAUCCUUGCAGUGAUCCUGAUGGUAGAAAAGAGCAGCCAGAGAGUUCGCUGGAGUCCUUAUCACUCUGUGCCUGAGCUCCUCGCAACACCCUGCAAAGACAGGGAUGCGCUCUUCCUUUGGCAGAAGGAGUCCAGACCAUAAGUGAGUUGAAGUGAUAUGCCCAAGAAAACUGGAAUGAGAAUGCAACUCCAGCUGCAGAACUUUGCCCCCAUGAUGGCAGCUUCCCUUAGUUCUCAACUGUUCC